AAGUACGCAAGAAGACUACAUGUUAGUUUUUCUACCAACCCUGAGUACAUCCUCAUUUACUCAUCACCAUAGUCAGCUGAUAUUUAUUGAAUGCUCAUUCUGCGCAGAGAACUGCUCUUGACUAGGCCCUGGAUGACUCCAGCCAAAGCUCCGGAAAUUAUCCCUGUCUCAAGAAGUAUCUACUCCAAGAAGAAAACAAGAAGAGACCCAAAUUGUGUGAGACAUAAAUACAAGGUACAGAAAGCUGGAAUCAGUUACCCAACUUUCCUUAGUGGGAUAAAAGUAUAUAAAUAAGUACUAAGACUUAGGACACAGAAGAACAGAAACGAGAUGGGCAUGGCUCUGUAAAUGAAGCCUGAUGGAGGUAGCCAAAAAAGGUUUUCUGGGGAAGCUUAGUAAUCACUGGAAAAAAAGGGUAGGAGACCUCACAACUAAAGGAAAUGACAGAACGGUAGCUUUGUAGAAGAAAAGCAAUAUGCGCUUUUCGCAAUGCCACCAGGAAAUAGG
RNAcentral lists this long non-coding RNA (507 nucleotides) under Homo sapiens (human). Its description in RNAcentral is "HSALNT0101699". Lineage: Eukaryota; Metazoa; Chordata; Mammalia; Primates; Hominidae. The record is from RNAcentral.